Long non-coding RNA from Neogale vison (American mink), 1767 nucleotides. The record is from Ensembl. Lineage: Eukaryota; Metazoa; Chordata; Mammalia; Carnivora; Mustelidae.
CAUGUUGGUGGCAGAGUUUUCCGGCUCUUCACACUGGACCACUGCUUUCUUUUGUGCUGGACAAGACGGAGCUUUUCUUGUGGCCGAGUCAGGCAAAAGAAGAUCUGCCAUCUACCAGAGUGACCUAUCACUUCAGACAGAACUCUGGAACGCGGAACAGUCUAUCCUUGAUUGAAGUCGCUCUCUCUGCUGAAAUGGCAUCUAGCUGAUGACCUUGGCAUCUGUGCUGACUUGUGUGUGAUUGCUUCUCUAAAAUAAUGGAAUAAGAACGUGGAACGUGAUGCUUUAAAAGGACUCUGUGGUUGCUCUGUUUUGGGUGUUCUUGCUUUGAUUUGGCAAGUGUUUAUGGGGCUGAGAUGAUGUUCAGAUCUGCAAGUUUCAGUGCUUCCUUUAGUGUUGUGGACGGGUUUUCUCUACCCAGCCUUUCUUCCUGGGAGAACUACCCUUUCCUGCUCUACCCACAGCACUUGGUUGAAGCAGACCUUUCUCCCCGGCUGUGAGAGUGGGAGCCAGCCCGACAGUCCCGGAACUGCUGGGAGAGCUAGCAGGAGAGAGCCUCUCUCUGCUGUAAAGGCCACAGAGUCGUGGGACUGCCUGUGGCUGCUUUGCCACCACACAGCGAUGGGCAGCUUGAGAAUGAAGGCAGUCAAGAAGGAAAUCUGUUCCCGUGACCUUGUCUGGAUGCCACUGCUCACCUUGGACUCCCAAUCAUUUCUGCCUGAAAGCACGGGCCUAACUGCCUCGUUUUAUGGAGUUGCUGGUGCCAAGCAUUAGCUCACCGUCUGGGGAAACGAAGCUACUACGGAGAAAAUGAGCCGCCCUGGCUGCAGCGCUCGGCUUGGAAGGGAAGCAGGCCCCAUCGGACUGGGUCGUGUCUGUGGCUGGUGGAGAGCUGCCUGCACCUGGGCCUCGGCUCCGUUUGUUGGCCUGGAAGCAGUGUUCGGAGCAAACCUUCACCCAACUUUUCCAGUCUAAAACCCAGUUUCCUUGCAGGCUAGUUAAGUGGCUGAGGACAGCAUUAGAUUUUCAACCAGCCCUGUCCUCUUGGGAUGCUAUGUGGAGAGGCCAGAUGAGCUGGGAAGAGGAGGCCCCGCACAGCAGGAAGGUGACCAGGACAAGGAAGUGGCUUCUCCAUUGAAAGAUGGCGGACAUGUGCUCGCUCGCAAGGGCUCGGCCAGUUCUCACAGAUACAAAGCCAGCUAUCCUGAAGGUUAGCUGAGGUGGGACACAGAAAGAGUCAAGAAAGCAGAUACGUUGAAGGAAACUUGACUUUCCAGAAAGAAUUCUUUUUGUACCACAUGCUGAAGAAUCGUAGUUGGCCUUCAUCUCUCAUAAAACGUGAAUCCCUUUAAACCUAAAUGUGUCUGUACUGCGGUUAAGACGGACUUCCUGGAAGGCUGUCCACAUGGAUCCAAAACAAAUCUUAAGUAGUACUUGUGGUCCAAAAAGGGGAGGAAAAUCUGCAGAGACAGACUCCUCGGCUGCAGGCAAGGUUGCAUGCGUUCAGUUUUUAGUUCUUAAAAUCCCAAAACUAACCAACGGGGAUAGGACUCAAAGAAUGGUUGUUGCCUGGUGGGGGGAGAAGCAGGAUGGACAUUGAGUGGAAAAGGGCCUAAGGGGACUUCCUAGGAUUGUGGAAAUUUUGAUAGAAGUGUUGAUUACAUGGGUGUAAACAUUUGUCAAAAUUUAUUAAACUCUGCCCUGAAGAUCUGUGCAUUUUAUUCUACGCCAUUAUACCUCAACUUAAACAUGUAGAAACAAAUAAAC